UACGGAAGAUGCGAGCGUUAUCCGGAUUUAUUGGGUUUAAAGGGAGCGUAGGCGGAUUGUUAAGUCUGCGGUAAAAUGUCGAUGCUCAACGUCGGCCUGCCGUGGAAACUGGCGAUCUUGAAUGUGCACAAGGAAGGUGGAAUUCGUGGUGUAGCGGUGAAAUGCUUAGAUAUCACGAAGAACUCCGAUUGCGAAGGCAUCCUUCUGGGGCAUGAUUGACGCUGAGGCUCGAAAGCGCGGGUAUC
RNAcentral lists this ribosomal RNA (245 nucleotides) under uncultured Paraprevotella sp. Its description in RNAcentral is "partial 16S ribosomal RNA". It matches the Rfam family "Bacterial small subunit ribosomal RNA", at positions 524 to 769 of the family's 1533-position model. Lineage: Bacteria; Pseudomonadati; Bacteroidota; Bacteroidia; Bacteroidales; Prevotellaceae. The record is from RNAcentral.